GUUUGAGUUAAAAUACGAAACUAAGCCGAGCAGAUUAACCAGGUAAAUUAACCAGGCGCUAGGUAGAAGUUCACAUGGGUUCCGAUAUCACGCUAAAUACGGGAUUCGCUGAUACAUGAGCAGUCCUGCGCAACAGGAAGUGAAUAAUUGUAUCAUUAUUGGCUAAUGCGAGCGCAGGGCUGCGCUCAAGUUUUGCCGUUUCGCGUUACUUUCAUAACGAGCCCGGAAUUUUUCAAAAUAAGCGAGUACUUAACAGAUAAUUGAGAAGUACUCUGGAUAUAGUGAACACUUUCCCAUUUAAAAAUGUACUUUCCCAUUUAAAUGUGUACUUUUGCGAGAGCGUUGUUUUCACGUCCUCAAACCGCGGGUCAACCAAUCAGAGACCGUCACUUCAAUAGCCUUAAUUCAACGCGUCUGGAAAACGCAAGUCAGCCAAUGAAAUGAUCUUGAAAUUUGAGCCUUCGUGAUUCCGCGUUCUUCCACGCGACCUGACCAAUCACACUGAAUCAUUCUUAUCCCACAAAAAGGGCAAUACAAAUAGCCUUCUGUCAACAGAUGCAGAUUGCCGGUGAUAACGAUAAUUAACGCGGACUAGGGGUCAGAAGAGAUCAAA
Long non-coding RNA from Nematostella vectensis (starlet sea anemone), 613 nucleotides. RefSeq lists it as uncharacterized. The record is from RefSeq and is a predicted model, not a curated record. NCBI's taxonomy places the organism in Eukaryota, Metazoa, Cnidaria, Anthozoa, Actiniaria, Edwardsiidae. The transcript is spliced from 2 exons.